Molecule: ribosomal RNA, 242 nt
Filed under: uncultured bacterium
Lineage: Bacteria
Description: partial 16S ribosomal RNA
Rfam family: Bacterial small subunit ribosomal RNA
Source: RNAcentral
GCAAGUCGAGCGAGAAAGCCCUUCGGGGUGAGUAGAGCGGCGGACGGGUGAGUAACGCGUAGGAAUCUGCCUGGUAGUGGGGGACAACCUGUGGAAACGCAGGCUAAUACCGCAUACGCCCUUCGGGGAAAGCGGGGGACCUUCGGGCCUCGCGCUAUCAGAUGAGCCUGCGUUAGAUUAGCUAGUUGGUGGGGUAAAGGCCCACCAAGGCGACGAUCUAUAGCUGGUCUGAGAGGAUGAUC